UGGGUAAUCUGCCCUCGAUUCUGGGAUAGCCCGGGGAAACCCGGAUUAAUACCGGAUAGCCUCUCGAGCUUACGAGCUCGUGAGAAAAGGUAGCUUCGGCCUCCGAUCGAGGAUGAGCCCGCGGCGGAUUAGCUCGUUGGUGGGGUAAUGGCCCACCAAGGCGACGAUCCGUAGCUGGUCUGAGAGGACGAUCAGCCACACUGGGACUGAGACACGGCCCAGACCUCCGUACGGGAGCAG
This 240-nucleotide ribosomal RNA is filed under the name uncultured bacterium. RNAcentral's name for it is "partial 16S ribosomal RNA". It matches the Rfam family "Bacterial small subunit ribosomal RNA", at positions 118 to 347 of the family's 1533-position model. The record is from RNAcentral.